RNAcentral lists this long non-coding RNA (751 nucleotides) under Mytilus galloprovincialis (Mediterranean mussel). Lineage: Eukaryota; Metazoa; Mollusca; Bivalvia; Mytilida; Mytilidae. The record is from RNAcentral.
CACGUGCUUACCUGAAUAUACAUGCUUCUUUGUUGAUUGUGUACAAAUGGAUGACAAUUGUUAAACUUAGGCUUCAAAACACAACCGUUAAUUAGCUACAUGUACCAUAUUUUUACAACAACACUGACCGAAUGAAAUGUUUUUUUACUAUUGUAUGAAAUUAAUGCGAAAAAAUGAUAAAACCACACACAAAAGACUAAGUUUAUGAUAUAUGUUAUAAUGUAUGCAUUGGAUCAAGAAUUGGAUUAACAUUAUUUUUCACUGGUAACUGGUUUCAUAUGACUUUAAGAAUCCAGUCCUUAGCAAGGAAGUAGAAGAAGAUCAUGAUCAUUAUCAAAAUAUUAUAAUACUGAGAUAAAAAUUAUAGGAGAUGUGGAAAGCAAUAACAGACAACCCUUCAAGCUCAAACAUGUCAAAGUGAAUAAAAACUUACUUUUUGUUAUAGAUAUAUAGGAAAAUGUGGUGUGAGUGCCAAUGAGACAAGUCUCCAUCCAAAUAACAAUUUUAUAAAAGUAAACCGUUAUAGGUCAAUGUACGGCCUUCAACACGGAGCCUCGACUCACACCGAACAACAAGCUUUAAAGGACUCCAGAAUUACUAAUGUAAAACCAUUCAAACGGGAAAACCAACGGUCUAAUCUAUAUAAAAUAAAAAAAACGAGAAACCAGAAACACGUAUAAAUUACAUAAACAAACGACAACUACUGUACAUCAGAUUCCUGACUUAGGACAUGUGCCAACAUUUGCAGCGG